GUCUCUUGAGAGUUAUUUUGCUCAUCUCAUCUACUGCUUUCAAAAGAUGACAUAUUUCACUAUUUUGAAAAGUAAAGGUUCAUUUCCUGUUUAUGGGCCUCAAUCUGUUGUUCAGGUUUGUUGCAAAGUCUUAUAUGGAUAUGCUUGAUCACUAAUAAUGCAGAUUUUUAAUUUCAUUUAGUUGUUUGGUAUUACAUGUUAUGCUUAUUUACAGUUGGUGUUCCUGUUUAACUUGCGGACUAUUAAUUGUUUUUUAAUGAUUCUCAGCACCAUGAUGCUGAUGCUUAUUUGCUUGUUGGCUUAUCUAUUAUCUAUAAUUCAAUGAAUAUCAAUUGUUAGGUUUAAGAACUUCUACGGAGGAAGCAUGCUAAAGAGGCAGUCGAGAAGGAACUUCAAGAGUUCGUGAAGUUACUAAAAUUUGGCAUGGAAAUGCCAUUGCAUUCAAAACUCCCAAAGUCUUCAUAAAAAUUGAGGAAGAAUCACAGUUGAAAAACUUACCAAGAAAAUUCUGAGGCUUUGGGAUCAUGUGAUUGAGCUCUUUUCCAUUCGUGAAGGUAUGACAUGCAACUAGAUUUUUGUACUGUAUGUUUCAUACCGAGCAUUGGGUAGGACAAUUGCAUAAUUUAAUGAAUAAAUUAAAAAUUCUUUUUUAUUCUACAGCACUAUCUAAUACUCCCCUACAACAUCCCAUCAUAGUUUCGGAAUCUGAGAGUUUGAAAUAUUCCUAUCAAUUUUAGCAGCUUAAAGACAAAUUGGAGAGACAUUCCUUAAUGAAACAAGAUAUACUAAGAUCCCAUCAAAUUAUUAGAUUGGUAUUUCUAUUUCUCAACUCUGUACUUAUUUCCUCUAAAACCUUCAUGUAACAAACCAUUACUAGCAUUUGUAUUCCAUUUAUUAACUAUAAUUUUGUUGUAAAAAAUUGAAAACUCCUAUCAAGGGGUCUUUCGAAAGGAUAAUUCGAGCAUUCUUCAAUGUGAGGGAGAAUCUGCAUGGAUGAUACCUUAAGAUUUUUGACAAGACUUCGGCCACCAAGUCCACUAGCAUAGUCCCCUCCAACGGCAUCUCAUGAUUCCUUUGUCUGUUCAAUUACUAUAUUAAUCUUGAUUACCAGUAAGUUUUUAUCAAAGAACUCCAACUUGACACUAAGGCACCUAUGCAAAUUACAUACAUGUAUACACCCGUCCCAAAAACAUUGUGUUGGCCACAUAAUUUUAUUUCUUGUCUAUUUUUACUAUGGUAUGUCCUUGUAGGUAUCAAUUUACCAAAAGCCGAAGCAAACCCAGAACUCUAAGAAUGAAAAUGGGCAGUCCCUAAAGAAGUCAUUGAGUAGGUAUUCUAAAAUGUCCCUUCAUUUCGCAUACAUUUCACAAAAGCUAAUCGGUGUACAGGAUGAUUUAUGGCAGGCUGUGGACUGCAAAAGGCCGAGUCCUUAUGAGUUAAACUCUCAUCUAUAGGUAAAAAGCUGAUUUAACCUUCUUGUUUUUUCUUUGCCAAACAAAAGUAAGUAUGCAUAUUGCAUGGCCUCGGCUCUUCACAGAGUGUAGCAUAUUCUCCCGCAAGCCCUUUAUGUUGCAGGUUUUACGUCUAAACUAUUAUACACUACACAAUCUCUUUUUCACAGUUCAAUGGAGUAUGUGGCCUAAAGCUAAUUUUGAAAUUUUUGUUUUGUUUUUUUUCAGCCCCCAUGGGACUUUUUUCAGCCCCCAUAGGACACGAAAACUGGAAAGAAGUUUAUCCUCUAUUUUACUUGUGGAUGUGACUAUAGCAUGAAGGUGAAAUUAUGUUUCUAUUUUGUACAUCAUUAUAAUAAGAAGUUCAUCUUAUGUUACUCUUGUGGACAUUUCAUUUUCAUUUUUUUGAAUUGCAAAGAAUUUCAUACUUCUUCUUUACCCCGUAAUGUGGACUAAUUUUGUUCAGAACUUGUCGGGCUGUUGAUGUUCAAGUUGAACUAACAUAUGGAAAAUUUGGAAAAUGGUGAUUUGAUAAGAGAUCAUACCUUGAUGGACCCACCUCAAAAUCUUUUCUUACCCCCUUCUCGUGUUUCUAAGAGUGUUGUACGUGCUGCACCUUUAUAUUCUUCGUACAUUAUUCAAUUCGUUCGGUUCUACAUCUAUUUGUUUAUUAAUUAAAUCAUAUUUACUAGAUCUUUAAAUUGGGAGGUAUAUAAUAGGAAAUUUUCCUUAUUCUUCUUAAAGAAUGGGUGAACUUCUUAGCAUGAAAUGCGCAUAUACUUUUGCACUAAUUUCUUAAUGUCAUUUCAUUCUUCGGGAUGUACAAAUCCACCUUUUCCUCUUUGCUUAGGAAGUUUACGCCAUGUGUUCCAAUCUGGUGCCAAUAUGAUAUGUUUAAGGAUUAUAUUAGUACUUGAUAAUAAAAAUUCUAGACUUUAUUCUGCCGGAAUGUAAAAGAAUCCUUGGGAGGCUCGGAAGGAAAAAUGUUGNGUGUGUGAGAUGAGAAUUGAACGGUAAAAUUAAAGCAAAGCGACAAUGUUUUGCUCCUAAUAGCAAAGGCAAAAAUAUGAAAAAUAAACGAAAAUGGAAUGGAUCACUGUUAUAGCAAUGGUAAACUUCACAUUAAUAGAGCAUCAUCAAGGAAAAAAGGGAAAUAAAAAGAAAAGGUGAGUAAUAAUGGAUGGCUUCUCAUCUGACGAAGAUAUGGAGGUAGGUGAUCAACCACAAAUCCUGUGCAUUUAAUAAUUUGUUUAUGCAGGCUGAUAAAAUUGAAAGUUUGCUGAAAUCAUCCAACAACUGAUAAGUAAUGUAUUAGUUUUGAUACUCUUUUAACAAUUUCCAAGAUUUGCAAGUCAUGUUCUUUAUCAUGUUUUAUUUAUAGAAGCAAGGUGAUCUAAAGCUUCAUGUAUGAGCUUUGGAGUCUGAAAGAGCUUUCCAACAUGUUGCAUCUAUUCAAAGUACAGUUGGAUGUGUAAGGCAGCUUCAUAUCUAGUUAGAAGUCGACCCAACAAGGCCUUUUCCAUACCUGUCUAGCAAUUAAUAUCAAUGCCAUCUUUCUCUUCUUUAUUUAUGUUUUGUCAAACUGCAAUUUUUUGAGCUUAACUUCUGUCUAAAUUAUUUUCAUUUCUUUGUGCUUUCUUCUGUUGUUAGAUGAGAGGGAAAGCAUAAAACUUGUAUUAUUUGCCUUCUUUUUCCAGCAACUUGAUUUCCUUAUUCUACAUGUAAAAUAAUUCCUUAUUUUCAUGUUCUCAUGUAAAAAUUCG
Molecule: long non-coding RNA, 3214 nt
Filed under: Olea europaea subsp. europaea
Lineage: Eukaryota; Viridiplantae; Streptophyta; Magnoliopsida; Lamiales; Oleaceae
Source: RNAcentral